RNAcentral lists this ribosomal RNA (732 nucleotides) under uncultured Bacilli bacterium. RNAcentral's name for it is "bacterial SSU rRNA". It matches the Rfam family "Bacterial small subunit ribosomal RNA", at positions 28 to 741 of the family's 1533-position model. The record is from RNAcentral. Lineage: Bacteria; Bacillati; Bacillota; Bacilli.
GACGAACGCUGGCGGCGUGCCUAAUACAUGCAAGUCGAACGAGAGCGACCGGUGCUUGCACUGGUCAAUCUAGUGGCGAACGGGUGAGUAACACGUGGGUAACCUGCCCAUCAGAGGGGGAUAACAUUCGGAAACGGAUGCUAAAACCGCAUAGGUCUUCGAACCGCAUGGUUUGAAGAGGAAAAGAGGCGCAAGCUUCUGCUGAUGGAUGGACCCGCGGUGCAUUAGCUAGUUGGUGAGGUAACGGCUCACCAAGGCCGUGAUGCAUAGCCGACCUGAGAGGGUGAUCGGCCACAUUGGGACUGAGACACGGCCCAAACUCCUACGGGAGGCAGCAGUAGGGAAUCUUCCGCAAUGGACGCAAGUCUGACGGAGCAACGCCGCGUGAGUGAAGAAGGUUUUCGGAUCGUAAAACUCUGUUGUUAGAGAAGAACAAGUGCUAGAGUAACUGUUAGCGCCUUGACGGUAUCUAACCAGAAAGCCACGGCUAACUACGUGCCAGCAGCCGCGGUAAUACGUAGGUGGCAAGCGUUGUCCGGAUUUAUUGGGCGUAAAGCGAGCGCAGGCGGUUCCUUAAGUCUGAUGUGAAAGCCCCCGGCUCAACCGGGGAGGGUCAUUGGAAACUGGGGAACUUGAGUGCAGAAGAGGAGAGUGGAAUUCCAUGUGUAGCGGUGAAAUGCGUAGAUAUAUGGAGGAACACCAGUGGCGAAGGCGACUCUCUGGUCUGUAACU